UAAACAUUGAUAGUUCAUCACACCUACUAUCCGCCCGGGGACUACAAGCAGUAGCUUAAAACCCAAAGGACUUGGCGGUGCUUAAGAUCCACCUAGAGGAGCCUGUUCUAGAACCGAUAACCCCCGUUCAACCUCACCCUCUCUUGUUUUUCCCGCCUAUAUACCGCCGUCGUCAGCUUACCCUGUGAAGGCUUAAUAGUAAGCAAAAUUGGCACAGCCUAAAACGUCAGGUCGAGGUGUAGCGUAUGAGAGGGGAAGAAAUGGGCUACAUUUCCUAAAAUAGGAAAUACGGAUGUUGCACUGAAACGUGCACUUGAAGGAGGAUUUAGCAGUAAGCAGAAAAUAGAGCGUCCUGCUGAAACUGGCCCUGAAGCGCGCACACACCGCCCGUCACUCUCCCCAAGCUUUAACCUUUUCAUAAUUAAUAAACUAUAACUGCAAAGGGGAGGCAAGUCGUAACAUGGUAAGUGUACCGGAAGGUGCACUUGGAUAGAC
This 495-nucleotide ribosomal RNA is filed under the name Trichopodus microlepis (moonlight gourami). RNAcentral's name for it is "partial 12S ribosomal RNA". It matches the Rfam family "Bacterial small subunit ribosomal RNA", at positions 801 to 1523 of the family's 1533-position model. Lineage: Eukaryota; Metazoa; Chordata; Actinopteri; Anabantiformes; Osphronemidae. The record is from RNAcentral.